GAUGAACGCUGGCGGCGUGCCUAAUACAUGCAAGUCGAGCGAACAGACGAGGAGCUUGCUCCUCUGACGUUAGCGGCGGACGGGUGAGUAACACGUGGAUAACCUACCUAUAAGACUGGGAUAACUUCGGGAAACCGGAGCUAAUACCGGAUAAUAUAUUGAACCGCAUGGUUCAAUAGUGAAAGACGGUUUUGCUGUCACUUAUAGCUGGAUCCGCGCCGCAUUAGCUAGUUGGUAAGGUAACGGCUUACCAAGGCGACGAUGCGUAGCCGACCUGAGAGGGUGAUCGGCCACACUGGAACUGAGACACGGUCCAGACUCCUACGGGAGGCAGCAGUAGGGAAUCUUCCGCAAUGGGCGAGAGCCUGACGGAGCAACGCCGCGUGAGUGAUGAAGGUCUUCGGAUCGUAAAACUCUGUUAUUAGGGAAGAACAAAUGUGUAAGUAACUAUGCACGUCUUGACGGGACCUAAUCAGAAAGCCACGGCUAACUACGUG
Molecule: ribosomal RNA, 497 nt
Filed under: uncultured bacterium
Lineage: Bacteria
Description: partial 16S ribosomal RNA
Rfam family: Bacterial small subunit ribosomal RNA
Source: RNAcentral